RNAcentral lists this ribosomal RNA (463 nucleotides) under uncultured bacterium. RNAcentral's name for it is "bacterial SSU rRNA". It matches the Rfam family "Bacterial small subunit ribosomal RNA", at positions 337 to 791 of the family's 1533-position model. The record is from RNAcentral.
UCCUACGGGAGGCAGCAGUGAGGAAUUUUGCGCAAUGGGGGCAACCCUGACGCAGCAACGCCGCGUGAGUGAUGAAGGCCUUCGGGUCGUAAAGCUCUGUCAAGUGGGAAGAACCUAUUAUACGUAAAUAGCGUAUGAUACUGACGGUACCACUGAAGGAAGCACCGGCUAACUCCGUGCCAGCAGCCGCGGUAAUACGGAGGGUGCAAGCGUUAUUCGGAUUUACUGGGCGUAAAGGGCGCGUAGGCGGUUGAUCAAGUCAGAUGUGAAAUCCCGGGGCUCAACCCCGGAAGUGCAUCUGAAACUGGUCGGCUUGAGUAUGGUAGAGGGAAGUGGAAUUCCUGGUGUAGCGGUGAAAUGCGUAGAUAUCAGGAGGAACACCGGUGGCGAAGGCGACUUCCUGGACCAAAACUGACGCUGAGGCGCGAAGGUGUGGGGAGCAAACAGGAUUAGAUACCCUGGU